AUACGUAGGUGACAAGCGUUAUCCGGAAUUACUGGGCGUAAAGCGCACGCAGGCGGCAGAUUAAGUCUGACGUGAAAUCUCCUGGCUUAACUGGGAGGGGUCGUUGGAAACUGGUCAGCUUGAGGUGGUGAGAGGGGUGUAGAAUUCCCGGUGUAGUGGUGGAAUGCGUAGAUAUCGGGAGGAAUACCAGUGGCGAAAGCGACACCCUGGCACUAGCCUGACGCUCAUGUGCGAAAGCGUGGGGAGC
This 247-nucleotide ribosomal RNA is filed under the name uncultured bacterium. Its description in RNAcentral is "partial 16S ribosomal RNA". It matches the Rfam family "Bacterial small subunit ribosomal RNA", at positions 523 to 769 of the family's 1533-position model. The record is from RNAcentral.